This 945-nucleotide ribosomal RNA is filed under the name Staphylococcus aureus. RNAcentral's name for it is "partial 23S ribosomal RNA". It matches the Rfam family "Bacterial large subunit ribosomal RNA", at positions 613 to 1559 of the family's 2925-position model. Lineage: Bacteria; Bacillati; Bacillota; Bacilli; Caryophanales; Staphylococcaceae. The record is from RNAcentral.
GAAUGAACCGGCGAGUUACGAUUUGAUGCAAGGUUAAGCAGUAAAUGUGGAGCCGUAGCGAAAGCGAGUCUGAAUAGGGCGUUUAGUAUUUGGUCGUAGACCCGAAACCAGGUGAUCUACCCUUGGUCAGGUUGAAGUUCAGGUAACACUGAAUGGAGGACCGAACCGACUUACGUUGAAAAGUGAGCGGAUGAACUGAGGGUAGCGGAGAAAUUCCAAUCGAACCUGGAGAUAGCUGGUUCUCUCCGAAAUAGCUUUAGGGCUAGCCUCAAGUGAUGAUUAUUGGAGGUAGAGCACUGUUUGGACGAGGGGCCCCUCUCGGGUUACCGAAUUCAGACAAACUCCGAAUGCCAAUUAAUUUAACUUGGGAGUCAGAACAUGGGUGAUAAGGUCCGUGUUCGAAAGGGAAACAGCCCAGACCACCAGCUAAGGUCCCAAAAUAUAUGUUAAGUGGAAAAGGAUGUGGCGUUGCCCAGACAACUAGGAUGUUGGCUUAGAAGCAGCCAUCAUUUAAAGAGUGCGUAAUAGCUCACUAGUCGAGUGACACUGCGCCGAAAAUGUACCGGGGCUAAACAUAUUACCGAAGCUGUGGAUUGUCCUUUGGACAAUGGUAGGAGAGCGUUCUAAGGGCGUUGAAGCAUGAUCGUAAGGACAUGUGGAGCGCUUAGAAGUGAGAAUGCCGGUGUGAGUAGCGAAAGACGGGUGAGAAUCCCGUCCACCGAUUGACUAAGGUUUCCAGAGGAAGGCUCGUCCGCUCUGGGUUAGUCGGGUCCUAAGCUGAGGCCGACAGGCGUAGGCGAUGGAUAACAGGUUGAUAUUCCUGUACCACCUAUAAUCGUUUUAAUCGAUGGGGGGACGCAGUAGGAUAGGCGAAGCGUGCGAUUGGAUUGCACGUCUAAGCAGUAAGGCUGAGUAUUAGGCAAAUCCGGUACUCGUUAAGGCUGA